Molecule: transfer RNA, 85 nt
Filed under: Felis catus (domestic cat)
Lineage: Eukaryota; Metazoa; Chordata; Mammalia; Carnivora; Felidae
Rfam family: tRNA
About the family: Transfer RNA (tRNA) molecules are approximately 80 nucleotides in length. Their secondary structure includes four short double-helical elements and three loops (D, anti-codon, and T loops).
Source: Rfam by way of RNAcentral
GCCUGGGUGGCUCAGUCAGUUGAGCAUCUGACUUUGGCUCAGGUCAUGAUCUCGCAGUCUGUGAGUUCGAGCCCCGCGUCGGGCU